GUGGAGGAGGCGUGGGUGGACCGAGGUACCACAAGUUGCCAGGAAUGCCUGACCAGAAACUGCUCUUGGGUGGGUCCCAGAGCUGCCUCCCCUUCACUUGACCCUAGGGCUGCUGGCUUCCUGGCCUUGUGAAAUCUUCUAGAGGCAGGAAGAAGCCUGAGCGCUCCCUGACGCCACUUGAGUUUGACUUCAUGGGUUUGCCGUGUGCCCCUGAACAAACCAGUUAUCCUCUCUAUGCCUUAUUUCGGUAUGCCCAUCUAACACUAAUUACCACCCCUCCCUGACUGCCCCCAAACCUUACCAGAAGAAAUGGCAUGAAGUUACGGAGACACUUUGAACUCAUUGGCAAAUUGUGCACUGUGAGGGGAAAGCACUGUGGCGGCCAUUUUCUUUUCUUCCUUGAGAAAGUCCCUUGCUAAUCAUUAAGACUGGCUGAGUAAGCUUGUUCCUUUACAUUUGAUGCUGGCCUGGGUGCUGGAAUAUGGAAAUGAGGAAGAUCCUGCCUGAGGAUUUCAUGACAGUGCUGCGAUUACCGACGUGAGCCACUGUGCCCAGCCUCACUUUAAAAAAAAAAAAAGGUUAUGAAGCAUCUCAACACAAGACCUCCUUUGCUCAUCACAACCACCCAGUGAAGCAGGCAAGACAACAGAAACUCCCCACCUGUGAUAGAUGUGAGGCCUGAAGUCUCCCACAUACCCACGGCAGAUGCAACGCACAGCGGUGACCAAUGGACAUGGUCCAAGCAGACCCUUUCCUGAGACUUUCUAAAUGGAGCUGUGUGAGAAGAGUUCCUUUCUGUUUUGCCUCUGGAGCUGAAGGUUGAGAACUCAGAGCUGCCCGUGUUCUACCCUGUGAAAAUAAAGGCAAUCAAUUCACAGAGACAAGCAGAAACAAGGCGUCCAGAGCAAGUCCUUCACAUCACCCUGGACACCCUGGCCCUGAUUUCCACUCCCUGCCAGGCUUGUUUGUCCAAUUCUUCUUUUUGUUCCAAGCACCAUCCCAGCAGGCUUAGUUACCUGUAAGCAUUUGGUUAAUCUCUCUUCUCAGCUAGACCGUAGGCUCCCCGAGUGCAGAAACUAUGUUUAUUUUGGUCUCUGCUGGAUCUCCAGCACCUAAAUAAAUGUUUAUGGUUGACUGCAAGGCAGAUCUGUGUGGGGAAUGAAGAAGAGUAUUAAGACCUCCCAGAUGGGCUGCUGGAGGCCUGUCCAAGGUGGAACUUUGCAUGGUGAGAAAUGCAAUUCAGUAGGAAAACAAAGAACUCCUUCAUCCUCCUCUAGAUUCUGCAGGCAAGUGAUCAGCUCAAGGGUGGAAAGAAGGGAAACUCGAGCCAGCCUGAGAAGGACCCUACCUUGUGCUGCUAACCACUGAGACUGCUGUUUGUACAGCAGAAAGGGGAUGGACACAUCACACCUGAGUCAAGCAAACGCCAUUAUCAUCAGAAUCAUGGGCCAUUGUUCCUGGAUCAAGCCCUACCAAAUUAAAGCUAAGAAAA
This 1492-nucleotide long non-coding RNA is filed under the name Homo sapiens (human). RNAcentral's name for it is "long intergenic non-protein coding RNA 964". The record is from RNAcentral. Lineage: Eukaryota; Metazoa; Chordata; Mammalia; Primates; Hominidae.